This 426-nucleotide ribosomal RNA is filed under the name uncultured bacterium. Its description in RNAcentral is "bacterial SSU rRNA". It matches the Rfam family "Bacterial small subunit ribosomal RNA", at positions 356 to 773 of the family's 1533-position model. The record is from RNAcentral.
AGGGAAUCUUCCGCAAUGGACGAAAGUCUGACGGAGCAACGCCGCGUGAGUGAUGAAGGUUUUCGGAUCGUAAAACUCUGUUGUUAGGGGAGAACAAGUACCGUUCGAAUAGGGCGGUACCUUGACGGUACCUAACCAGAAAGCCACGGCUAACUACGUGCCAGCAGCCGCGGUAAUACGGAGGUGGCAAGCGUUGUCCGGAAUUAUUGGGCGUAAAGCGCGCGCAGGCGGUUUCUUAAGUCUGAUGUGAAAGCCCACGGCUCAACCGUGGAGGGUCAUUGGAAACUGGGAGACUUGAGUGCAGAAGAGGAGAGUGGAAUUCCACGUGUAGCGGUGAAAUGCGUAGAGAUGUGGAGGAACACCAGUGGCGAAGGCGACUCUCUGGUCUGUAACUGACGCUGAGGCGCGAAAGCGUGGGGAGCGAAC